AUGGCAUGGCGCCAAAAUGUGAAGCUGAUGCCCAACAAGCUCAAGGACGACGUGCUAGAGGACAAUCGGAUAAAGCCUCCACUGUUGAUGAUCUGCGGCAAGAGGGAUACUGGCAGCAGGGAGGGGAAAAGGGAAGAUGAAAAUUUGCCCGUUUCAGAAGGCAAGGGUGGAAGCAGAAUCAUGGGCCAGGUGCUGCACAGGCUCACAGGCACACACACUGCUUGCUUUGGCUUCCACCAGUGGAGACCUGGAGGCACCGAUGUGAGCAUAGCAGGCUGUCGUUGUUGGCGAAAGCCGCGGCAAGAGAGGAUGGCAGAGGAAGAAAGGUGAGGUACUGCAA
This 340-nucleotide long non-coding RNA is filed under the name Oryza sativa Indica Group (long-grained rice). RNAcentral describes it as "lncRNA OsMH63_10G014430". Lineage: Eukaryota; Viridiplantae; Streptophyta; Magnoliopsida; Poales; Poaceae. The record is from RNAcentral.